This 31-nucleotide ribosomal RNA is filed under the name Paraleucobryum enerve. RNAcentral's name for it is "partial 5.8S ribosomal RNA". Lineage: Eukaryota; Viridiplantae; Streptophyta; Bryopsida; Dicranales; Dicranaceae. The record is from RNAcentral.
CAACUCUCAGCAACGGAUAUCUUGGCUCUUG